Molecule: ribosomal RNA, 1032 nt
Filed under: Sus scrofa (pig)
Lineage: Eukaryota; Metazoa; Chordata; Mammalia; Artiodactyla; Suidae
Description: partial 16S ribosomal RNA
Rfam family: Bacterial large subunit ribosomal RNA
Source: RNAcentral
GUCCGAGAAAGAAUUUUAGUUCAACCUUAAAAAUACCCCAAAAACCCUAAAUUCCAAUGUAUUUUUAAGAGAUAGUCUAAAAAGGUACAGCUUUUUAGAAACGGAUACAACCUUGACUAGAGAGUAAAAUCUUAAUACUACCAUAGUAGGCCUAAAAGCAGCCAUCAAUUGAGAAAGCGUUAAAGCUCAACAAAUUCACCAACAUAAUCCCAAAAACUAAUAACAAACUCCUAGCCCAAUACCGGACUAAUCUAUUGAAACAUAGAAGCAAUAAUGUUAAUAUGAGUAACAAGAAGCCUUUCUCCUCGCACACGCUUACAUCAGUAACUAAUAAUAUACUGAUAAUUAACAACCAAUAAACCAAAACAACACUAAAACGUUUAUUAAUUACAUUGUUAACCCAACACAGGAGUGCACCAAGGAAAGAUUAAAAGAAGUAAAAGGAACUCGGCAAACACAAACCCCGCCUGUUUACCAAAAACAUCACCUCUAGCAUUACUAGUAUUAGAGGCAAUGCCUGCCCAGUGACACCAGUUUAACGGCCGCGGUAUUCUGACCGUGCAAAGGUAGCAUAAUCACUUGUUCUCCAAAUAAGGACUUGUAUGAAUGGCCACACGAGGGUUUUACUGUCUCUUACUUCCAAUCAGUGAAAUUAACCUUCCCGUGAAGAGGCGGGAAUAAAAAAAUAAGACGAGAAGACCCUAUGGAGCUUUAAUUAACUAUUCCAAAAGUUAAACAACUCAACCACAAAGGGAUAAAACAUAACUUAACAUGGACUAGCAAUUUCGGUUGGGGUGACCUCGGAGUACAAAAAACCCUCCGAGUGAUUUUAAUCUAGACAAACCAGUCAAAAUAACCAUAACAUCACUUAUUGAUCCAAAAUUUUGAUCAACGGAACAAGUUACCCUAGGGAUAACAGCGCAAUCCUGUUCUAGAGUUCCUAUCGACAAUAGGGUUUACGACCUCGAUGUUGGAUCAGGACACCCAAAUGGUGCAACCGCUAUUAAAGGUUCGUUUGUUCAACGAUUAAAG